AGUUUGAUCCUGGCUCAGGACGAACGCUGGCGGCGUGCCUAAUACAUGCAAGUCGAGCGAGCUUGCCUAGAUGAAUUUGGUGCUUGCACCAAAUGAAACUAGAUACAAGCGAGCGGCGGACGGGUGAGUAACACGUGGGUAACCUGCCCAAGAGACUGGGAUAACACCUGGAAACAGAUGCUAAUACCGGAUAACAACACUAGACGCAUGUCUAGAGUUUAAAAGAUGGUUCUGCUAUCACUCUUGGAUGGACCUGCGGUGCAUUAGCUAGUUGGUAAGGUAACGGCUUACCAAGGCAAUGAUGCAUAGCCGAGUUGAGAGACUGAUCGGCCACAUUGGGACUGAGACACGGCCCAAACUCCUACGGGAGGCAGCAGUAGGGAAUCUUCCACAAUGGACGCAAGUCUGAUGGAGCAACGCCGCGUGAGUGAAGAAGGGUUUCGGCUCGUAAAGCUNCUGUUGGUAGUGAAGAAAGAUAGAGGUAGUAACUGGCCUUUAUUUGACGGUAAUUA
This 512-nucleotide ribosomal RNA is filed under the name Lactobacillus gasseri. RNAcentral describes it as "bacterial SSU rRNA". It matches the Rfam family "Bacterial small subunit ribosomal RNA", at positions 10 to 481 of the family's 1533-position model. The record is from RNAcentral. Lineage: Bacteria; Bacillati; Bacillota; Bacilli; Lactobacillales; Lactobacillaceae.